UUUAAUUCGAUGCAACGCGAAAAACCUUACCACUCCUUGACAUGGAAAUUAUACCUAUUCGAAGGAAUAGGGUCGGUUCGGCCGGAUUUCACACAGGUGUUGCAUGGCUGUCGUCAGCUCGUGUCGUGAGAUGUUGGGUUAAGUCCCGCAACGAGCGCAACCCUCAUCCUUAGUUACCAUCGGGUCAUGCCGGGGACUUUAAGGAAACUGCCAGUGAUAAACUGGAGGAAGGCGGGGAUGAUGUCAAGUCAUCACGGCCCUUAUGGAGUGGGCUACACACGUGCUACAAUGGUGAUUACAGUGGGCUGCAAGGUCGCAAGGCCAAGCCAAUCCCUAAAAAUCAUCUCAGUUCGGAUUGUUCUCUGCAACUCGAGAGCAUGAAGUUGGAAUCGCUAGUAAUCGUGGAUCAGCAUGCCA
Molecule: ribosomal RNA, 417 nt
Filed under: uncultured bacterium
Lineage: Bacteria
Description: bacterial SSU rRNA
Rfam family: Bacterial small subunit ribosomal RNA
Source: RNAcentral